Molecule: long non-coding RNA, 2026 nt
Organism: Ochotona curzoniae (black-lipped pika)
Lineage: Eukaryota; Metazoa; Chordata; Mammalia; Lagomorpha; Ochotonidae
Exons: 2
Source: RefSeq, a predicted model, not a curated record
AAAAAAAAAAAAGUGCCUUUUGCCCCUUCGAGGAAAUCCUUUUUCGAGCAGGCCACGGACUGCGAGUGUUUGGGAGUUAGGGGAGAAUGGUGUCUGUAGGGCUUUUUUGUGGGUGUUUUGGCAGCCGCAGCGUGUGGGGGUGGGGGGAAUAGAACGUCUCAACUGACCCCUUGUCCUCUUGGGCUCCAGAGGCGGGAUGGGGGGUCUCGCCAGCGAACCCCCGAUAUCCACGGAGCCGCUUGCGCUCAUCAGUCUCCACAUCCUCCCCAACCUCGCCCUUCCCUGACCUGAGCCUUGAGGAGGGCAAAAAAAGUAGUGUGCUUGGUACCUAGGGGGCUCAAAAGACGACGAAAACGCGCGAGGCGUCGUUCCCUUUUUUUUGGGUGGGGGGGAGACGGAAAUCGCAGCUCGCGGGCAGGCUUUUCGGGGCUCCCGGGCGCGCCUGCGCUGCCAAGGCGAAGGAGGACAAAAGGCUGGCGUCCAUGUUGGCGCCAUGACGCAGCAUCUCCCGCCGGAGCCGGGCGCCCGGCGCCGUGGGCCUCCGGGCCGCGCUCGCUCCUCCCUCCCAAACACCAAUGUUAUUUUCAGGUUUUGAGAGGAGCCGCCAGUUGGGCUGUGGCUGUGGCGGCCGCGCGGGCCAAGCCGGGCGGAGAGCCUCUGACUGGCUAAUGGCGGCCGGUUCUCCUCUUCCUUCUUCUUCCCGGCAGUCGUUGGGAGGCCCGGGCCGGAGGCGGCUCCCGCGGCCGGGCUAGCACCGAGCGACUGCGGGGUACAUCGCCCCCGGAUCGGGCGCGGGUCGCGGGGCUGCUUCGGGGACUUGGGGGCCUCAGGGGCGUCGCAUGCCUUGGCUCCCGGCGCUCGCCUGCUUUGGGCGCGGCGGCCAGACGGGCGCCAUUUCGCGCGCCGCCUGCGGCUCGGGCGGUGGCCGCGACAGCGCCUGGCGAGGAGAGCAAGGGCGGCCGGGAAAGCCGCCGCCCGCGACCCACGUCCCCCAGAGCCGAGGCCGGAAGGAUGCGGGCCACUGGGAAACCCCGCAGUGCUCCCUGCCCCGACCUAGGCCCAUCCUCCACGAGGAGGCCUUGGUCGCCUGCUGGCCGCUGGUGCGCUUCCUUCCCCAGCAAAGGACCUCAGGGCCAGCCAGGUUCUCGAGGCCACUACGAACUGCUCUGUACCCCAGUUCUGACCCCAGGACAGCCGGCCUGAGUUCCCUACCCUGCCUUCCCAUAACUUCUGACAAACAGCCAAGCGGAGGGGCAGGAACCGCUUUGUCCCCCACUUUCUGCGUGAGGCCACCGCGCUGGCUCCAGGGGCUGCCCUUUUGGGCCGCACCCCUCUAGACUUGCGUUGUAUGCCGGAAAUGGGGGCUGGAGGCUUGGAAUGGUUUAGUGGGCCGCACCCUGGUCCCCAGGCCCUUCUUUGGGGAGGGGAUGGGCACUGGGCGCGCCUUUCAAAAUGCUGAGGAGUCGCAGCCUGGUCGCAAUCGUGGGGACUCAGCCGCCGCCCCGCCUCCAUCCCCGCUGGGGUGAGGGGCCCUGGGUUGGGGUCCUGGAGCGCGUUCCUUAGGCUCCCUGUCUGUCAGCCGAGGGUCUUCACCAGCCCGUUUGUCGCCCACCCCCGGGGGGCUACCCUGACGAUCCCCCUCCACCUUGCUCUCCAGGUUUCUGGCUGGCACCCCCUGGGUGGGCAGCCCUGCUUGAUUCCGACUAAAGGAGCAGGCCCAGCUUGAAUCUGACAGUCGUCCCACUAAGUGCUGCCUGAGUGCCAGAGUCCCCUCAGGGCUAUGCUGAGGCAGCUACACAGGUAAGUGGGCCCCACCUCCCCUGUCCCUGGCCUCUGCUGAUGUCCCCACCUUGUGGCCUGGUGUCCUCGUGUCCCUCUCCUGCCCUCCAUUGGAGCCCUGCCAGGCCAGGGGGCUUCUGGCUAUCUGCACUGGCCCGAGCCAGCUGCUGUCCUAGAAGUGGCGGACUGUGAGCCCCUGGCGUGCAGGAGCACAACUGCCUCUCAAUAAACGCAUUUCAAACGAGAA